This 212-nucleotide long non-coding RNA is filed under the name Vigna radiata. Its description in RNAcentral is "long non-coding RNA (VRAD_LNC015389)". Lineage: Eukaryota; Viridiplantae; Streptophyta; Magnoliopsida; Fabales; Fabaceae. The record is from RNAcentral.
UUUCGGUGGCGGUAAAAUUAAAGGUUUUUUCAUUUUGCGUCUUUCGUAAGUGAUUUAGGGGUUUUGUAUUUUUAUCUGGAAUGGUUGAUGUAUGUUGAUCCCUUUUAUUGACUUGUGUUUCUACUUUAUUUUACCUUGCGAAUGUUAGAACUUCCUAUAUGCCUUGUAAAUCUGAGUUAGAAGGAAAAGAGAUCUUGGUUACAAGUAGACAC